RNAcentral lists this ribosomal RNA (274 nucleotides) under uncultured bacterium. RNAcentral describes it as "partial 16S ribosomal RNA". It matches the Rfam family "Bacterial small subunit ribosomal RNA", at positions 523 to 796 of the family's 1533-position model. The record is from RNAcentral.
AUACGGAGGGGGCAAGCGUUGUUCGGAAUUACUGGGCGUAAAGAGUACGUAGGCGGAUCCUUAAGUUAGAGGUGAAAUCCCAGGGCUCAACCCUGGAACUGCCUUUAAUACUGGCGAUCUAGAGAUCGAGAGAGGUGAGUGGAAUUUCCAGUGUAGAGGUGAAAUUCGUAGAUAUUGGAAAGAACACCAGUGGCGAAGGCGGCUCACUGGCUCGAUACUGACGCUGAGGUACGAAAGCGUGGGGAGCAAACAGGAUUAGAAACCCUAGUAGUCC